RNAcentral lists this transfer RNA (70 nucleotides) under Dipodomys ordii (Ord's kangaroo rat). It matches the Rfam family "tRNA". From Rfam's summary of the family: Transfer RNA (tRNA) molecules are approximately 80 nucleotides in length. Their secondary structure includes four short double-helical elements and three loops (D, anti-codon, and T loops). Lineage: Eukaryota; Metazoa; Chordata; Mammalia; Rodentia; Heteromyidae. The record is from Rfam by way of RNAcentral.
GGGAAAGUGGCUCAGUGGUAGAGUGCUUGCCUAGCAUGCAUGAGGCCCUGGGUUCGAUUCCUCAGCACCA